CUGAGAGGAUGACCAGCCACACUGGAACUGAGACACGGUCCAGACUCCUACGGGAGGCAGCAGUGGGGAAUAUUGCACAAUGGGGGGAAGCUUGAUGCAGCCAUCCCGCGUGUGUGAAGAAGGCCUUCGGGUUGAAAGCACCUUAGGGAGGAGGAAGGUGGUGAUCUUAAUACGUUCAUCAAUUGACGUUACCGAGAAGAAGCACCG
RNAcentral lists this ribosomal RNA (207 nucleotides) under uncultured Enterobacterales bacterium. Its description in RNAcentral is "partial 16S ribosomal RNA". It matches the Rfam family "Bacterial small subunit ribosomal RNA", at positions 292 to 495 of the family's 1533-position model. The record is from RNAcentral. Lineage: Bacteria; Pseudomonadati; Pseudomonadota; Gammaproteobacteria; Enterobacterales.